UUAAGUUAUUAAGGGCGCACGGUGGAUGCCUUGGCACUAGAAGCCGAUGAAGGACGUUACUAACGACGAUAUGCUUUGGGGAGCUGUAAGUAAGCUUUGAUCCAGAGAUUUCCGAAUGGGGAAACCCAGCAUGAGUUAUGUCAUGUUAUCGAUAUGUGAAUACAUAGCAUAUCAGAAGGCACACCCGGAGAACUGAAACAUCUUAGUACCCGGAGGAAGAGAAAGAAAAUUCGAUUCCCUUAGUAGCGGCGAGCGAAACGGGAAGAGCCCAAACCAACAAGCUUGCUUGUUGGGGUUGUAGGACACUCUAUACGGAGUUACAAAGGACGACAUUAGACGAAUCAUCUGGAAAGAUGAAUCAAAGAAGGUAAUAAUCCUGUAGUCGAAAAUGUUGUCUCUCUUGAGUGGAUCCUGAGUACGACGGAGCACGUGAAAUUCCGUCGGAAUCUGGGAGGACCAUCUCCUAAGGCUAAAUACUCUCUAGUGACCGAUAGUGAACCAGUACCGUGAGGGAAAGGUGAAAAGCACCCCGGAAGGGGAGUGAAAUAGAACCUGAAACCGUGUGCUUACAAGUAGUCAGAGCCCGUUAAUGGGUGAUGGCGUGCCUUUUGUAGAAUGAACCGGCGAGUUACGAUUUGAUGCAAGGUUAAGCAGUAAAUGUGGAGCCGUAGCGAAAGCGAGUCUGAAUAGGGCGUUUAGUAUUUGGUCGUAGACCCGAAACCAGGUGAUCUACCCUUGGUCAGGUUGAAGUUCAGGUAACACUGAAUGGAGGACCGAACCGACUUACGUUGAAAAGUGAGCGGAUGAACUGAGGGUAGCGGAGAAAUUCCAAUCGAACCUGGAGAUAGCUGGUUCUCUCCGAAAUAGCUUUAGGGCUAGCCUCAAGUGAUGAUUAUUGGAGGUAGAGCACUGUUUGGACGAGGGGCCCCUCUCGGGUUACCGAAUUCAGACAAACUCCGAAUGCCAAUUAAUUUAACUUGGGAGUCAGAACAUGGGUGAUAAGGUCCGUGUUCGAAAGGGAAACAGCCCAGACCACCAGCUAAGGUCCCAAAAUAUAUGUUAAGUGGAAAAGGAUGUGGCGUUGCCCAGACAACUAGGAUGUUGGCUUAGAAGCAGCCAUCAUUUAAAGAGUGCGUAAUAGCUCACUAGUCGAGUGACACUGCGCCGAAAAUGUACCGGGGCUAAACAUAUUACCGAAGCUGUGGAUUGUCCUUUGGACAAUGGUAGGAGAGCGUUCUAAGGGCGUUGAAGCAUGAUCGUAAGGACAUGUGGAGCGCUUAGAAGUGAGAAUGCCGGUGUGAGUAGCGAAAGACGGGUGAGAAUCCCGUCCACCGAUUGACUAAGGUUUCCAGAGGAAGGCUCGUCCGCUCUGGGUUAGUCGGGUCCUAAGCUGAGGCCGACAGGCGUAGGCGAUGGAUAACAGGUUGAUAUUCCUGUACCACCUAUAAUCGUUUUAAUCGAUGGGGGGACGCAGUAGGAUAGGCGAAGCGUGCGAUUGGAUUGCACGUCUAAGCAGUAAGGCUGAGUAUUAGGCAAAUCCGGUACUCGUUAAGGCUGAGCUGUGAUGGGGAGAAGACAUUGUGUCUUCGAGUCGUUGAUUUCACACUGCCGAGAAAAGCCUCUAGAUAGAAAAUAGGUGCCCGUACCGCAAACCGACACAGGUAGUCAAGAUGAGAAUUCUAAGGUGAGCGAGCGAACUCUCGUUAAGGAACUCGGCAAAAUGACCCCGUAACUUCGGGAGAAGGGGUGCUCUUUAGGGUUAACGCCCAGAAGAGCCGCAGUGAAUAGGCCCAAGCGACUGUUUAUCAAAAACACAGGUCUCUGCUAAACCGUAAGGUGAUGUAUAGGGGCUGACGCCUGCCCGGUGCUGGAAGGUUAAGAGGAGUGGUUAGCUUCUGCGAAGCUACGAAUCGAAGCCCCAGUAAACGGCGGCCGUAACUAUAACGGUCCUAAGGUAGCGAAAUUCCUUGUCGGG
RNAcentral lists this ribosomal RNA (1975 nucleotides) under Staphylococcus aureus subsp. aureus MRSA131. RNAcentral's name for it is "bacterial LSU rRNA". It matches the Rfam family "Bacterial large subunit ribosomal RNA", at positions 3 to 1976 of the family's 2925-position model. The record is from RNAcentral. Lineage: Bacteria; Bacillati; Bacillota; Bacilli; Caryophanales; Staphylococcaceae.